Molecule: long non-coding RNA, 1486 nt
Organism: Rattus norvegicus (Norway rat)
Lineage: Eukaryota; Metazoa; Chordata; Mammalia; Rodentia; Muridae
Source: RefSeq, a predicted model, not a curated record
AGGUAAGCGGCGAGUUUGGCGUCGCUCCAGCCGCUACGGCGUCUCAAGUCCACCCAGGGGCCGUGCGCCUCUCCCAGGUACACGCGCCGCACGUCGUACUUCUUCCGGGACUCGAGCCGCCUCCGGGCCCGGUCCGACUCGGACAGCGACUCCACACUCCUGCUGCCGUGGGUAGUGGACAAAGAUGCGCUGGAUAGCGUUGCGGGGCCGGAAGACCUCCUUGGGGAAAACGUCCAGCAGCAGGUUGUAUACUGACAAGUCCCGUUCCACACCAAACUCUGGCAUCUUGCGAAGUGCUAGGUAGAUGAAGUCCACGUGGCCGCGCUUGCGCACAUUGUGCUCCCCAAAACUGCGCACUGCAUUCAGGAAGCUUGCCUUGUCCUGCUCCCCGUUUCCUGAUGGCCUGAACAGGUCUUCGUGCAUUGCUGGAACCUUGAUGGGUUUCUUUUGGGGCUCGGAGGGUCGAGGAACCAACCACACGUCAUCCUUGUGUGUGACUGCACUACAAUGGAGGCCUCGAGCCUGAAGGGACGGCUGGGGAGAGAGGAUGGUACUUGCUUUUUGUUUUCUGUUUGCUGGCAGAGGUACACUGGACAUCAUGGAGGACCUUCCAGGAGCUUUGAUACUGUGGCUGCUAACUGUAGCUUGGAUAUGACAUAGUGCAUCAAAGUACACUGCCACAUGGUAGCACACGCCUGAAAUCCCAACCCCCAGGGAGCUAAGGCAGGAGAAUUGAGAGCUCAAAGCUUGCUUGAACCAUACAUUCAUAUUGUAAGGCCAUUUGGGAUUACAUAUGGUGCAUACACAUGUACACAUAGACACAGACACACACAGACACACACAGACACACACACACACACACAGACACACACACACACACAAAAAUAAAACAUCAAGAAGCAUUACCAGGACCAGCAAGAUGGCUCAGAAGAUAAAGCACUCACACAGAUUUGACAUAGAUAUAUGUAUCUACACAUGUGACUAUGCUUGGCCCAGGGAGUGGCACUAUUAGGAGGUGUGGCCUUGUUGGAGGAAGCGUGUUACUGUGGGGGUGGGCUUUGAGAUCCUCCUCCUAGCUCCCUGGAAGCCUGUCUCUCCUGAUUGUCUUUGCAUCAAGAUGCAGAACUCGGGCUAGAGAGAUGGCUCAGUGGUUAAGAACACCCAACUGUUCUUCCAGAGGUCAUGAGUUCAAUUCCCAGCAACCACAUGGUGGCUCACAACCAUCUGUAAAGAGAUCCGAUGCCCUCUUCUGGUGUAUCUGAAGACAGCUACAGUGUACUUAUAUAUAAUAAAAUAAAUCUUUAAAAAAAAAAUUAAAAAAAAAGAUGCAGAACUCUCAGCUCCUUCUCCAGCACCAUGUCUGCCUGUAUGCUGCCAUGCUUCCUGCCAUGGUAAUGGAUUAAACCUCUGAGUCUGUAAGCCAGCCAAUUAAAUGCUUGCCUUUAUGAGUUGCCUUGGUCAUAACAAUAAAACCCUAAGACACGUA